Molecule: ribosomal RNA, 254 nt
Filed under: uncultured bacterium
Lineage: Bacteria
Description: partial 16S ribosomal RNA
Rfam family: Bacterial small subunit ribosomal RNA
Source: RNAcentral
UACGGGGGGGGCAAGCGUUGUUCGGAAUUACUGGGCGUAAAGGGCUCGUAGGCGGCCAACUAAGUCAGACGUGAAAUCCCUCGGCUUAACCGGGGAACUGCGUCUGAUACUGGAUGGCUUGAGUUUGGGAGAGGGAUGCGGAAUCCCAGGUGUAGCGGUGAAAUGCGUAGAUAUCUGGAGGAACACCGGUGGCGAAGGCGGCAUCCUGGACCAACACUGACGCUGAGUGAGCGAAAGCCAGGGGAGCAAACGGG